ACCACGAGACCGAUAGCGAACAAGUACUGUGAGAGAAAGUUGAAAAGAACUUUGAAGGAAGAGUUCAAGAGUACGUGAAACCGUUCAGGGGUAAACCUAACCCAAAAGAUCGAACGGGGAGAUUCAUCGUUAGCGGCGUUGGCUUCGCGUCGGUGGGCGAUGUCCCGCGGUUUCUCGCGCGGACACACUACCGUGCGCGCAUGACCGGCGUCGUCGUCGUGCACUUCUCCUUUAGUAGAACGUCGCGACUCGCUGGGUGUCGGUCUACGGCCCGGGUGUGGUGACUGUCGCGUCGCCGGUAAAACGGCACGCGGCAAAUCUCCUGACUCCCGGCCAGUUGCCCGGCGGUACUCGCACGGUAUCAGGCCGCAGCUUCUGCGUCAAGCCCGUCGCAAGCGCGCGCCACGGUUACUCGGAGGUACGGACCUGGUGCCGUCCCCGGUCCUGGCCCGCUGUUGGCCGACGGUGACCCUUUGACAGGCCUUACGGGGCUGCGUAAGGGAGCGCAAGUCAUUCCACGUACGCCUUAAUACCGGUCGGCGACGCUACUGCUUUGGGUACUCUUAGGACC
RNAcentral lists this ribosomal RNA (571 nucleotides) under Leptogenys sp. MAS006. RNAcentral's name for it is "eukaryotic LSU rRNA". It matches the Rfam family "Eukaryotic large subunit ribosomal RNA", at positions 325 to 649 of the family's 3401-position model. Lineage: Eukaryota; Metazoa; Arthropoda; Insecta; Hymenoptera; Formicidae. The record is from RNAcentral.